RNAcentral lists this unclassified non-coding RNA (225 nucleotides) under Hevea brasiliensis (rubber tree). The record is from RNAcentral. Lineage: Eukaryota; Viridiplantae; Streptophyta; Magnoliopsida; Malpighiales; Euphorbiaceae.
CCAGGCUAAGAAUACUGAAUGCCGCAGCAGCAAAGAAAUGCUAACUUUUGAACUUUUAUUUAGAUAAAAGCUACAGGUGAUGACACGAUGAAAUUUUGUCGAUUAUACAUCUCAGGUUAACUUGUGAAUCGUUUUCAUGUCAGCUGCUUCCUUGAGUGUCCCCUUUUCAACGUGUUCCCACCAUUUGAACAAGAAAUUGUCCACAACUAGUCUAAACCAAGGUGA